CAGCAGCCACGGUAAUACGUAGGUCCCGAGCGUUGUCCGGAUUUAUUGGGCGUAAAGCGAGCGCAGGCGGUUAGAUAAGUCUGAAGUUAAAGGCUGUGGCUUAACCAUAGUACGCUUUGGAAACUGUUUAACUUGAGUGCAAGAGGGGAGAGUGGAAUUCCAUGUAUAGCGGUGAAAUGCGUAGAUAUAUGGAGGAACACCGGUGGCGAAAGCGGCUCUCUGGCUUGUAACUGACGCUGAGGCUCGAAAGCGUGGGGAGCAAACAGGAUUAGAUACCCCUGUAGUCCCUGUCUCUUAUACA
RNAcentral lists this ribosomal RNA (301 nucleotides) under uncultured bacterium. RNAcentral describes it as "partial 16S ribosomal RNA". It matches the Rfam family "Bacterial small subunit ribosomal RNA", at positions 509 to 808 of the family's 1533-position model. The record is from RNAcentral.